Molecule: transfer RNA, 87 nt
Filed under: Thermopolyspora flexuosa
Lineage: Bacteria; Bacillati; Actinomycetota; Actinomycetes; Streptosporangiales; Streptosporangiaceae
Description: tRNA-Ala
Source: RNAcentral
GCCCGGCGGCGGACGGUGGCCGGGCGGCUUGUCCGGCUCGCAGUCGGGCACGUCGCGGCCGGUCCAGCGGCCGGCGGCCGGGUCCCA